GCCCCUGUAGCUCAGUGGACAGAGCGGCGGUUUCCUAAACCGCGAGUCGCCGGUUCGAGUCCGGCCAGGGGCCCCA
This 76-nucleotide transfer RNA is filed under the name Dehalococcoidia bacterium. RNAcentral's name for it is "tRNA-Arg". It matches the Rfam family "tRNA". Rfam says of the family: Transfer RNA (tRNA) molecules are approximately 80 nucleotides in length. Their secondary structure includes four short double-helical elements and three loops (D, anti-codon, and T loops). Lineage: Bacteria; Bacillati; Chloroflexota; Dehalococcoidia. The record is from RNAcentral.